AUUGAACGCUGGCGGCAUGCUUUACACAUGCAGGUCGAACGGCAGCGCGGGCUUCGGCCUGGCGGCGAGUGGCGAACGGGUGAGUAAUGCAUCGGAACGUGCCCAGUAGUGGGGGAUAGCCCGGCGAAAGCCGGAUUAAUACCGCAUACGACCUGAGGGUGAAAGCGGGGGACCGAAAGGCCUCGCGCUAUUGGAGCGGCCGAUGUCGGAUUAGCUAGUUGGUGGGGUAAAGGCUUACCAAGGCGACGAUCCGUAGCUGGUCUGAGAGGACGACCAGCCACACUGGGACUGAGACACGGCCCAGACUCCUACGGGAGGCAGCAGUGGGGAAUUUUGGACAAAGGGGGCAACCCUGAUCCAGCCAUGCCGCGUGCGGGAAGAAGGCCUUCGGGUUGUAAACCGCUUUUGUUCGGGAAGAAAUCCUCUGGGCUAAUACCCCGGGGGGAUGACGGUACCGGAAGAAUAAGCACCGGCUAACUACGUG
This 484-nucleotide ribosomal RNA is filed under the name uncultured bacterium. RNAcentral describes it as "partial 16S ribosomal RNA". It matches the Rfam family "Bacterial small subunit ribosomal RNA", at positions 28 to 507 of the family's 1533-position model. The record is from RNAcentral.